CCUACGGGUGGCAGCAGUGAGGAAUAUUGGUCAAUGGCCGAGAGUCUGAACCAGCCAAGUCGCGUGAAGGAUGACUGCCCUACGGGUUGUAAACUUCUUUUGUCUGGGAACAAAGCGAGUCACGUGUGGCUCAUUGUGAGUACCAGAAGAAAAAGCAUCGGCUAACUCCGUGCCAGCAGCCGCGGUAAUACGGAGGAUGCGAGCGUUAUCCGGAUUUAUUGGGUUUAAAGGGUGCGUAGGAGGAUUGUUAAGUCAGCGGUAAACGGUGGGGGCCAAACACCGGCUUGCAGUUGAAACUGGGCGUCUUGAGUGCGCGAGAGGUAUGCGGAAUGCGUGGUGUAGCGGUGAAAUGCUUAGAUAUCACGAAGAACUCCGAUUGCGAAGGCAGCAUACCGGCGUGCAACUGACGCUGAGGCACGAAAGCGUGGGGAUCGAACAGGAUUAGAUACCCUUGUAGUC
This 459-nucleotide ribosomal RNA is filed under the name uncultured bacterium. Its description in RNAcentral is "partial 16S ribosomal RNA". It matches the Rfam family "Bacterial small subunit ribosomal RNA", at positions 338 to 795 of the family's 1533-position model. The record is from RNAcentral.